Molecule: ribosomal RNA, 522 nt
Filed under: Dasytes nigroaeneus
Lineage: Eukaryota; Metazoa; Arthropoda; Insecta; Coleoptera; Melyridae
Description: partial 16S ribosomal RNA
Rfam family: Bacterial large subunit ribosomal RNA (bases 386-522)
Source: RNAcentral
CAUGUCUUUUUGAAUAUAAUUUAAAGUCUAAUCUGCCCACUGAAAUAUUUAAAUGGCCGCAGUAUUUUGACUGUGCUAAGGUAGCAUAAUCAAUAGUUUCUUAAUUAGAAGCUGGAAUGAAUGAUUGGAUGAGAUAAAAACUGUCUCAAUUUUAAUAAUUAAAAUUUUAUUUUUAAGUAAAAAAGCUUAAAUAUUUUUAAAAGACGAGAAGACCCUAUAGAGUUUUAUAUUUUUAAGUUAAUUUAAUUAAUAUUUAAAUAUUUUAUUGAUUUAAAAAUAUUUUGUUGGGGUGAUAGAAAAAUUUAAUUAACUUUUUUUUUAUAAAACCAUAAAUUUAUGAAUAAAUGAUCCAUUAAUUAUGAUUAUAAGAUUAAAUUACCUUAGGGAUAACAGCGUAAUUUUUUUUGAGAGUUCAAAUCGAAAAAGAAGAUUGCGACCUCGAUGUUGGAUUAAAGUUAAUUUUUGGUGUAGCAGCUAAAAUUUUAAGUCUGUUCGACUUUUAAAACUUUACAUGAUCUGAGU